RNAcentral lists this long non-coding RNA (246 nucleotides) under Carica papaya (papaya). Its description in RNAcentral is "long non-coding RNA (CPAP_LNC013030)". The record is from RNAcentral. Lineage: Eukaryota; Viridiplantae; Streptophyta; Magnoliopsida; Brassicales; Caricaceae.
UACAUUUUUUAAUGACAGUCUAAAAUUGUAAUAUGUUAACAAAUAGAACAAAUUAUGUAAAAGCCCAAACCACUACUAGCGAUUCCGAGCGUAUAACUUAGUAAUUGUCAAACAAAUAUUACUGAAAUUUAUAAUUUAGUAGAAGCAAAUAAAGUUUAGAAUUAUAUUCCUUGUAUGUUUACUUAAAAUGCCCAAUAGGGCUAUGAAAAUGCCCUUUAAACUUAAAUGGAAAAAACAUAAGAAAAA